CACAUAUGAAAUUUUGACAAUAAAUAUUUAAUAUAUACAUAGCUCUCUGUGUGUGUAUAAAGAAAGCCCUUAGGGUUCCUUCCUCACAAAGCCUGAGCCAAGGACUCCUUGUAUCUGCAGGCUGGACUGGAGGAGCUCUGGUUUCUGGCUCUGGAUUGUCUUCACCGGGAAGAGCAGAUUGCUGUUGUAUAGUCUGUGAGGUGGCCCUCUAAGCAGAUGACAAGAGAUGCAUUUAAAGCCAUCAGCAGUCAGGCUGAGGACAGAACUCGAGCAGAACAACCUGCCUCCUGGGCAAGAAGUCCUGGGUCCCAUCCCCAGCACUGCAAAAACAAACAUCUUUAGGUGUCCAAUUUUGUACUCCAAAAUCGUUUUUAAGAUAUUUAACUGUUUUCAUUUCCCUUAGAUGUGUAAUACUUAAGGCUGGAAGCUUUAUAUUUUUACAUUUUCCAAAAACAAAUUUCCCACCCAACACAUCAUAACUUUAUAGCGUAACUUGGUAACAGUGGAACACUGAGACCCUUCCUGAAGAAAUCUACUGCAGGCAGAACAGAAGGACCCCUUGAAGGCGGGAGCUGAGCUUUGCUCCUGCUGUUCCCUUCUUCACAGAGAGCCCACUUCCAACAGCUACUCUGAGUGGGAGAAGCAAUCUGCAAUAGUUAGGUAGAGCCUCUGCGCCCCCACCACUGCCCUGGACGCAACUGCCAGUUCCUAGAGGGGUGGAGAAGAUCGUAUCUUCUAGAGAGCUCAGUAGGUAAGUGGACAACUGCCGUCCUCCAAGCUGUGCUGGGACUCACCACACCACAGUGUAGACGCCACAGGGGAACUGCAUCACUGACCCAGAGGCCUGGGGACAGGAACCAGAGGUGACAUGGAGACAUCGGGCAUGCUACCCUAGGCUUGUGAUCCCAGUUCCUUGAGAGGCUGAGACAGGAGGACCAAGAGUCCAAGGCCUGUCUGGGCUACAGAGUGAGUUUAAGGCCAGCUGGGUAAUUUAGAUCCCAUCUUGAUCUUAAAAAAAAAGGUCAAGAAUCUACCUCAGUGGUAAAGCGCCUGCCUAGCAUGUGCACACCCUAGGUUCAGUUCCCAGUGAGGAGAGAUGGGAGCCAGCUGCGGGCUGUCUUAAGCCAAGCCAAGAUGUCUCUGGUCUCUACCCCUAGGAGCACAGUCCAACUGCAGGAGAGUGCCACAGCCCUUACUGCCCACUCAGCAAGCUGCUGCUUCCUUCUCACCAGACAUUUGGUCAGCAAGAGCCACAGCCACUUUUUUUUAAAUCAGAUACAAUGGGGGAGAAAAUAGCUCUUCCUUUGAGGAACUUAAACAUCUUAGAGUGAGAAAACAGGGAGAUGAACACAUAGUCACAGGCGGCUUCUGCAGACUCUUGUCCUUACAUGGCAUACGGCUCACUGUAGGUUCUUCAGAUGUCCCCUGAGGAGCUCUUCAUAGCACCAAAUGGACCCCUGGUGCCUGACAUUACAGCUUCCAUGGCUCAACUACAUGCCACCAUCACUACCACCCAUCUCCUAGGCCAUGUGACCUGCAAAAGGAAUUUACCACUGAAGCCAAAGGCAUCAUUUCAAAAUGAAAGUCCGCACCAUUAAACCAAGAUACUGAAAAGGAAAAAGAAAGCACUCUCGAAGAGUGUGGCUUCCCAAGGAAUCCCACACCCCACUGUAGCACUAACGUUGAACAAGCUUUGCAUUGGAAUCGUAUGUUUUAUUCACCAGAAGGGCCACGCUAUCAACAGACCCUGGGACACCAUCCAGUCUGUUGCAGCUGCAACCCUGACACCAUAAGGGACUUCCUGAGAACUUUCCUCUAUAGCUCAAUUUCUGCGGGAGUGGUUUACGGUAACCCUUACACAGCACUUAUGCAAUAGUAAAGUCAAUGCCCACAACACAAAAUUUAAAUGGCCUGUUUCAUACCAGAUUUCCCCAUAGCAAAAUCCUAAUAAUAUUACAAGUUAUCUCCACUCAGUUCCAACCCCCACCCCCACCCCCUUGGGCUUUCCUGGCUCUGGGCCUCAAGGUCUCCCCAGGUUGUCUCCUACUCUGUGUCAUCAUGGGGUCCCAGUAUUGGUGCCCAUCAGGCCUAAGGUCCCAGGACAGGCUACCAAAAUGGUUGCCAGUUACUCUAAGCAUGAAGCUUGCUGAUUUAACAUGAUGGGACCCCUUACCCUGUAUGCACAUCAGCACUGUUAAGAUGUAACCCCCGUGAACCUCGUUACAGCUGACUGCCAAUCGCACUUCCUGAAGGUAAACUUGGAUAGCACAUUGUAGACAUAGUUUGCUUGAAUUUGAUUAUUAUUUGCUCUCCACCUGACAUAGGAUUCUGUUGUCUAAACUUGGUCUUGACAACGUCCAUUCAGGACGUCAUUAUGGCGAAGGGAACCGCAGAGGAAGAGGAAAGCGCCCCAGAAAGAGCUGAGACAGGCAGAGCACCCCCCACCUCCUUUGCUGGGAAAUAAAACUGCAAGCAGUU
Molecule: non-coding RNA, 2478 nt
Organism: Peromyscus maniculatus bairdii (prairie deer mouse)
Lineage: Eukaryota; Metazoa; Chordata; Mammalia; Rodentia; Cricetidae
Source: RefSeq, a predicted model, not a curated record